Molecule: unclassified non-coding RNA, 159 nt
Filed under: uncultured fungus
Lineage: Eukaryota; Fungi
Description: sequence contains ITS1
Rfam family: 5.8S ribosomal RNA (bases 1-107)
About the family: 5.8S ribosomal RNA (5.8S rRNA) is a component of the large subunit of the eukaryotic ribosome. It is transcribed by RNA polymerase I as part of the 45S precursor that also contains 18S and 28S rRNA.
Source: RNAcentral
GAAAUGCGAUACUUGGUGUGAAUUGCAGAAUCCCGUGAACCAUCGAGUCUUUGAACGCAAGUUGCGCCCGAAGCCAUUAGGCCGAGGGCACGCCUGCCUGGGUGUCACACAUCGUUUCCCCAACGCAAACAUGUAACAAUGUCGAAGCCAUUAGGCCGA